AUGGCCGAACGAUUCCCCGGCGACGAGGCGGCGGCCAACGGCUUCGGCCACCGCUCCCUCCGCGAUCAGGAGUCGUGGCUCCUGUUCGAGGCCAACAUCCCGGCGGCGCCGAACAUGCGCGCCGGGCCGUCGGGGUGGCGGCUCAGCAACGGGGGAGUGCCCGUUUCGCCAUUGCCCGACGCCGCGGCGCGGACCGCGUACUUCGCCGACGAGGUCGAGCUCGCACGCGCCUCCCUCACCGGUGAGCAGCGCGCCCUCCCCCAGUACACCGCCGACAACCGCUCAGCAUGGGCGGCGUACUUCGAGCGCCGUCAAGAACAAAGACUGGCGUCCACCAACGGGCGCCGGUGGUGGGCGGCAGACAGAACAGUAAGGGCCACCGCGUUUGUUGGGGCAUCCCCGUCCGCACGCUCGGCGGCGUGCUGGCGCACCUUGAGGGCGGGAACGAGCUGCCAUUGA
This 459-nucleotide ribosomal RNA is filed under the name Triticum aestivum (bread wheat). Its description in RNAcentral is "partial small subunit ribosomal RNA". The record is from RNAcentral. Lineage: Eukaryota; Viridiplantae; Streptophyta; Magnoliopsida; Poales; Poaceae.